Molecule: ribosomal RNA, 1763 nt
Filed under: Pseudoharpagon tertius
Lineage: Eukaryota; Heterolobosea; Eutetramitea; Lyromonadida; Psalteriomonadidae
Description: SSU rRNA
Rfam family: Eukaryotic small subunit ribosomal RNA
Source: RNAcentral
UGUGAGACCGUAUCUCCUCCUAGAGGUGAAUUUCAAUCCGUACACGGCUCCUUACCCAGCUUUCAAACGUCGCUCUUGGUUUAAACCCUAUAGGGAUACCAGAGUCAAAGGCAGUGUUAAUACCUGAACUAAAUAAGCCACUUUCUGUAAGGAAUUUGGUGAAUAGGAAGAUUUGUAUGAAUACAGCUUCCUCUUGGCUUGGGGUAACCCAGGCUUUGUUUACCCGAUCUGUGGGGACUCGGGACGGUUUUGCUAUUUAUCAGUUUGUAGAGUGUUUCAGGUACACUCCAUACAAUAACGAAUACGGGGGAUUGGUGUUCAAAUCCGGAGAAGGAGCCUUAGAGAUGGCUACUGGUACUAAGGUGUACAGCAGGCGCGAAACUUGCCCAAUGGUAGCCCGCUACCGAGGCAGUGACAAGAAAUAAGCACCUUCCACAUUUCGUUGGAAGGGUACCACGUACUUUGUACUGGUUUACAAUGGUGGGGUUGUAGCAGAACCCCAGAGGAACAAUCAGAGGGAAAGUCAGGUGCCAGCAUCCGCGGUAAUACCUGCUCUGAGAGUCUAUGAUAACGUUGCUGCGGUUAAACGUUCGUAGUUUACGUAGGAGAGGUCUUACGUCUGAGUCAAAAGAAUGACACUCUAGAUAUAGUUGGUUCUAACCAGCUUAUUUGGAGACAACUUCGGUUGUGGUUUCCUUCGGGGAAUUUGCUUCGUUCUUUUUUAGCAACACUUGGUGAGGCGCCCACGUACUUCGGUCCGUAGCACUUACACUAAGAAAGUUGUGGUUCAGCGUUGCCUUUCGAAAAACUUAUUAACCCGUGAGCAAAUCAAGGUGAUCAAGGCACGAUUAGUUAACCUCUUUACUCUUCGGAGUUUAGAGGUCUACGAUGUAAAAUGUCACAGCACGGAACUAAUUACACCAGCUGCUUUAUGUAGCUGGGAAAGGGAAAAAGGCCAGGUUUGAGGGAACGGUACCUACUGAUCAGGGGUGAAAUCCGUACAGUCAGUAGAGACCAACGGAAGCGAAAGCGGUUCUCUAGCACUGUCCUAUUGAUGAGGGUCGAGAGUCAGGGGAGCAAAGAUGAUUAGAUACCGUCGUAGUCUUGACCGUAAACGAUUCAGGCAAGGGUUUCGAUUGAACCCUCUCGCCAGAUCAAUUUAGAACCCCCGGGAAACCUUUAGCGUUUGUGAUCCGGGGGGAGUAUGUUCGCAAGGAUGAAACUUAAAGGAAUUGACGGAAACUUACCACCAGGAGUGGAUUCUGCGGCUUAAUUCGACUCAACGCGUGGAAUCUUACCAGGUCCAGACUGCAGGAAGAUUGACAAGCUAUAGACUUUUCUUGAUUGGCAAAACAGUGGUGCAUGGUCGUUCUAAGUUCGUGGAUUGGUCCGUCUGCUUAAUUGCGAUAACGAGCGAGAUCUCUAUUGCUACUUGGUAGCCGUAUAUUCCUUAUCGAAUAUCGGGAACAUAGGGUUAUCUCUUCGGAGACAAACCCUUCCUCAUAGCAAGACCUCAAGUGAUUUAAUUGCAGCUUGGUGAUGGUAGAGGUGAGAACAGAUCCGUUAUGCCCUCAGAUGUUCUGGGCGGCACGCGUAAUACAAUGCUAUCGUACAGUAGGUCCGUCUUACCACUUUUCGAAGUGGAUGACAUACCUAACUCUAAAUGGUCCGGAAAACCACGUAAACGGUCGUAAAUCUGGGAUCGUGGGUUGCAAGUCCCACGUGAACCAGGAAUUCCUAGUAAGCGAAGGUCAACAUCCUAC